UCUCUAUGUGUGGGUGGCAGUGGUGGCGGAAGAGCCACCUGUUAUCAGUCUGUCCCCUAAUCCAUCCUGCAGAUGAGUGGCCGCCUGCCUGCCUGGCAGAUAGCGCUGGGAGGGCUGUUGCUCCCUGCCAGGGAUUGCUAAAGAGCAGCCACCAUAUUGAUUGGCCCUGUCACCACUUGAGGGAUGUAUUCUUGUGAACAGCCUCUGGCAUUAGCAGUCUGCUCGCAUGUUGGCUGCAUCAAGGGCUACCAAGGUCUCCAUCCCCGGCAGGUGCAGCAGGGACAGGGCUGGGGCUCGUGGCUGCACUCAGCAACUCCUGCCCCAGAGAGCCAGACCACGAGGAUGGCUGAGGUAACCCUCAGCAGUGCAGGAGGGGGAAGGAGAAGACCAAGAUGUUGGUGUGUCCCAGGAUUCAGGAGAUGAGGAGAUGCUUGGUGAGCACGUCUGGUGAGCUCACCGUGGGCACACGGUAGAGGUGCGGAUCCUUCCAGCUCGUGCUUUCUGUCUGCUGGAUUUGGUAGGCUUCAGUGGGAUCAAGGAUGCAGGAGGAUGACUGGGGCUGGACAGUGAUUUUUUUUUUUUUUUUUUUUCCCCCACAGAAAAUGCUGAUUUAUUAAUCUCAAAGCCAUAAGUAUGAAAUGGCUGGCUUGACCAAAAAUACUUCUUUGGAAAAAAUAGGAUUCAGGAGUCUCCAAAUUUCUGAAGUGACCCCUUUGGAUGCCAUCAGAUUGGAGAAACUCGGGAUCUCUUCAUUCAGAGCUGGUCUGUGCUUCGACAGGGCACAGACCAGACCCCCCCUGCAAACAGCUUAUGACCUGGACUUCUCCCUCCAUACCUAUCCUGCAAAACCAGCCUUUCUGCCCUGCCCGGGGGAACAGCCCACAGCAGAGGACAUCAGUUGAGCUAGUUCUGGGAAAGACCUCCAGAAGGAAGGCUGUAACUAUCAACAUGCCAAAUGAGAACACAAAAGAAGCAGUGGGCAGCAACCUGGCCCACGAUCUGCAAGGGCUGAAGUAAGCAAGAUCCUGAGGGGAGACAUCACCCUGUAAUCACCGCUGCCUCCCAAAGGGUGUUAAUGCCCAUUUGUUAUCACUAGUGCUGGAGAUAGGAUCAUUGGCUGACGUCCCAUGUCCCCUCUGUCAUGAACAAGUGAUCCUGGCCAGCCCACUUGGACACUCAUGGCGGUGAGUGCACAAGGACAUCUUGGAAAUGGCAUUAAGUAAAAUCCCUUUCCCACUCAUGCAGUCUCCCACUGAGGUUUUUACAUCAAUUUCCUGCAUUUUGAGCUUAUCAACGGGAUCUUUUCUGGUAAAAACCAAGCAUGUUUAAAUGAA
Aquila chrysaetos chrysaetos is the source of this 1334-nucleotide long non-coding RNA. RefSeq lists it as uncharacterized. The record is from RefSeq and is a predicted model, not a curated record. The transcript has 2 exons. NCBI's taxonomy places the organism in Eukaryota, Metazoa, Chordata, Aves, Accipitriformes, Accipitridae.